Molecule: non-coding RNA, 110 nt
Organism: Pteropus alecto (black flying fox)
Lineage: Eukaryota; Metazoa; Chordata; Mammalia; Chiroptera; Pteropodidae
Source: Rfam
GUGCGCACUUCAGCAGCAGCACAUAUACUAAAAUUGGAAGGAUACAGAGAAGAUUAGCAUGGCCUCUGUGCAAGGAUGACAUGCAAAUUCGUGAAGUGUUCCAUAUUUUU